This 70-nucleotide transfer RNA is filed under the name Inquilinitermes inquilinus. Its description in RNAcentral is "tRNA-Ser". It matches the Rfam family "tRNA". From Rfam's summary of the family: Transfer RNA (tRNA) molecules are approximately 80 nucleotides in length. Their secondary structure includes four short double-helical elements and three loops (D, anti-codon, and T loops). Lineage: Eukaryota; Metazoa; Arthropoda; Insecta; Blattodea; Termitidae. The record is from RNAcentral. RNAcentral also lists the same sequence under 1 other name.
AGUUAAAAAGCCAUAGUAAGCCUAAUGUCUUGAAAACAUUUUGAAAGAAGUUCAAAUCUUCUAUUAACUU